UGGGGAAUUUUGGACAAUGGGCGAAAGCCUGAUCCAGCAAUGCCGCGUGUGUGAAGAAGGCCUUCGGGUUGUAAAGCACUUUUGUCCGGAAAGAAAUCCUUGGCUCUAAUACAGUCGGGGGAUGACGGUACCGGAAGAAUAAGCACCGGCUAACUACGUGCCAGCAGCCGCGGUAAUACGUAGGGUGCAAGCGUUAAUCGGAAUUACUGGGCGUAAAGCGCACGCAGGCGGUUUGUUAAGUCAGAUGUGAAAUCCCCGGGCUCAACCUGGGAACUGCAUUUGAAACUGGCAAGCUAGAGUCUCGUAGAGGGGGGUAGAAUUCCAGGUGUAGCGGUGAAAUGCGUAGAGAUCUGGAGGAAUACCGGUGGCGAAGGCGGCCCCCUGGACGAAGACUGACGCUCAGGUGCGAAAGCGUGGGGAGCAAACAGGAUUAGAUACCCUGGUAGUCCACGCUGUAAACGAUGUCAACUAGUUGUUGGGGAUUCAUUUCCUUAGUAACGUAGCUAACGCGUGAAGUUGACCGCCUGGGGGAGUACGGUCGCAAGAUUAAAACUCAAA
RNAcentral lists this ribosomal RNA (558 nucleotides) under uncultured bacterium. RNAcentral describes it as "partial 16S ribosomal RNA". It matches the Rfam family "Bacterial small subunit ribosomal RNA", at positions 355 to 905 of the family's 1533-position model. The record is from RNAcentral.